Molecule: ribosomal RNA, 63 nt
Filed under: Sematophyllum galipense
Lineage: Eukaryota; Viridiplantae; Streptophyta; Bryopsida; Hypnales; Sematophyllaceae
Also listed under: 1 other name
Description: partial 26S ribosomal RNA
Source: RNAcentral
GACCUCUAAUCGGAAAAGACUACCCGCUGAGUUUAAGCAUAUCACUAAGCGGAGGAGAAGAAA